This 64-nucleotide transfer RNA is filed under the name Daphnia pulex (common water flea). RNAcentral's name for it is "tRNA-Cys". The record is from RNAcentral. Lineage: Eukaryota; Metazoa; Arthropoda; Branchiopoda; Diplostraca; Daphniidae.
GGUAGAGUAUGUUUAAAUAAAAUAUUUAGAUUGCAAAUCUAAUAAUGGAGCAUCCCCUCUACCU